RNAcentral lists this ribosomal RNA (324 nucleotides) under uncultured eukaryote. RNAcentral's name for it is "partial 18S ribosomal RNA". It matches the Rfam family "Eukaryotic small subunit ribosomal RNA", at positions 1470 to 1796 of the family's 1831-position model. The record is from RNAcentral.
CCCUUAGAUGUCCUGGGCUGCACGCGCGCUACACUGAUGUGUCCAGUAAGCACCUAACCUCUUCCGAAAGGAACGGGUAACCUUUGCAAAGCACAUCGUGAUGGGGAUAGAUUAUUGCAAUUAUUAGUCUUGAACGAGGAAUUCCUAGUAAGCACAAGUCAUCAGCUUGUGUUGAUUACGCCCCUGCCCUUUGUACACACCGCCCGUCGCUCCUACCGAUUGAAUGUUCCGGUGAGCUCUUCGGACUGCGCGGUCUGCAGUUUCUGCGUUCCGUGCGGAAAGUUGCGCAAACCUUAACAUUUAGAGGAAGGAGAAGUCGUAACA